CUACGGGGUGCACCAGUGAGGAAUAUUGCACAAUGGGGGGAACCCUGAUGCAGCAACGCCGCGUGGAGGAUGACGCAUUUCGGUGUGUAAACUCCUUUUAUAUGUCAAGAAAAUGACGGUAGCAUAUGAAUAAGCACCGGCUAACUCCGUGCCAGCAGCCGCGGUAAUACGGAGGGUGCAAGCGUUACUCGGAAUCACUGGGCGUAAAGGACGCGUAGGCGGGUUGGAAAGUCAGGUGUGAAAUCCUACAGCUUAACUGUAGAACUGCACUUGAAACUUCUAAUCUAGAGUAUGGGAGGGGGAGAUGGAAUUAGUGGUGUAGGGGUAAUAUCCGUAGAUAUCACUAGGAAUACCUGAAGCGAAGGCGAUCUCCUGGAACAUUACUGACGCUAAGGCGUGAAAGCGUGGGGAGCAAACAGGAUUAGAUACCCGUGUAGUC
Molecule: ribosomal RNA, 439 nt
Filed under: uncultured bacterium
Lineage: Bacteria
Description: partial 16S ribosomal RNA
Rfam family: Bacterial small subunit ribosomal RNA
Source: RNAcentral